GACGAACGCUGGCGGCGUGCUUAACACAUGCAAGUCGAACGAAGAGCGAUGGAAGCUUGCUUCUAUCAAUCUUAGUGGCGAACGGGUGAGUAACGCGUAAUCAACCUGCCCUUCAGAGGGGGACAACAGUUGGAAACGACUGCUAAUACCGCAUACGAUCUAACCUCGGCAUCGAGGAUGGAUGAAAGGUGGCCUCUAUUUAUAAGCUAUCACUGAAGGAGGGGAUUGCGUCUGAUUAGCUAGUUGGAGGGGUAACGGCCCACCAAGGCGAUGAUCAGUAGCCGGUCUGAGAGGAUGAACGGCCACAUUGGGACUGAGACACGGCCCAGACUCCUACGGGAGGCAGCAGUGGGGAAUCUUCCGCAAUGGACGAAAGUCUGACGGAGCAACGCCGCGUGAGUGAUGACGGCCUUCGGGUUGUAAAGCUCUGUUAAUCGGGACGAAAGGCCUUCUUGCGA
RNAcentral lists this ribosomal RNA (458 nucleotides) under Veillonella dispar. RNAcentral's name for it is "bacterial SSU rRNA". It matches the Rfam family "Bacterial small subunit ribosomal RNA", at positions 28 to 463 of the family's 1533-position model. Lineage: Bacteria; Bacillati; Bacillota; Negativicutes; Veillonellales; Veillonellaceae. The record is from RNAcentral.